Molecule: long non-coding RNA, 1108 nt
Organism: Homo sapiens (human)
Lineage: Eukaryota; Metazoa; Chordata; Mammalia; Primates; Hominidae
Exons: 2
Source: RefSeq, a predicted model, not a curated record
GCCGCCAAAGCCCGCGCCAGACCCGGAAAGCGCGGUCGUCCUCUGCCUCCGGGAAGCGCGGCUUGGAUGGGCUCGCCGGGGCCAGGCUGGGCCGGGGCUGGGCGCGCGGUCACCCCCGGCACUCAAGGACUUCCCGCACCAACCCAUGCUGAGGAGGGGCUUGGUGGCAGCCUCAGGAAACACUCCCAUCGCCAGCCACCGCAGCAGGGAAAGCACCUGGCCUCACCAGCUCCAGGCUUCCAGAAGGAGCUGCCCUCCUGACUCGCAGCCGUCGAAUGUGCUUAGCUCCCAGCACCUGGGCCACUCAUGGACAGCACUCGCACGUGUUCCGCCCCGCCCCCCACCUCCAUGGCUCAGCCGGGCCUUGGCACUCCUCUCUCCAUGUGCCUGCCUGUCUCUGCGGACUCCUGGCUAGGGCUCAGCUGCCCAGUAGCCUGUGGAAGGGGGAACUGGUGCAGUUAUCAGUCAAUCCUCCCACAGGGCUGGGAUUACACACGUGAGCCACCGCACCCGGCAGUCAUUGCUGAGUCUAAGGACAUCUCUGCAUGGGUGCUGUUGUGCCUUCCUGUCGAUGACAUAUCCAUGUCACCCACACACACCUGUAUGCUGACAAACACGGACAUCUAUGUACAUUGGAGAAACCUGGGGAAAGCCCCAGGCUAGCCAUAGCCCUCCCAUCCAGCCAGCCAGUCCCAUGCUCUGUGCAACCUCAGAACCUUACUGAGCCACACAUCACCUGGUGGGUUUUAAUUCUUUAGUGGCGUUUUUGAAGAGUCUGUUCCUAUUUUCCUUAGACUGUCCCACAGUCUGGAUCCUUGGUUAAACGUUUGGGGCAAUGAUGAAGGGAGGUGACAAGUCAGCAGGAGGUGCAGGACAUCAGCGUGGCCAUGAGUGAGGACGUGAAGUUGAACCACUUGGUCAGCUUUGGGUCUGCUGAAUUCCUCCAUGGUCAAGGUCCGUGGCUCCUUGUGGAGUAAUUAAGGCAUGCGUGAGGUCAUUCUCUGAGACCACAAGCAUCAAGUUUUCCCAAUAACCAUUUGCCCAACAGUUUUAGCAUCAGUUAAUGAGUAGAUUCAGUGUUAAACCGUAAAGCUGCAAAAUCAUGGCU